UUUCCGUAGGUGAACCUGCGGAAGGAUCAUUACAGUGCCAGCGGGAGCACCGCGGCCGUCCCUACCCGGGGCGUGUCCGAUCGGUGCCUCGCGCCCGGCCCCACACUUGUCUACCGACCGCGUUGCCUCGGCGGGCCCGCCGCUUAGUCGGCCGCCGGGGGAUGGUUAACACCUCCCCUGGCCAGCGCCCGCCGGAGGACCGUAUUCGAAAUUCUUUUUUUUUAAUCGAGUUAUAGUCUGAGCGAUAAUCGCAGAAUGAAUCAAAACUUUCAACAAUGGAUCUCUUGGUUCCGGCAUCGAUGAAGAACGCAGCGAAAUGCGAUAAGUAAUGUGAAUUGCAGAAUUCCGUGAAUCAUCGAAUCUUUGAACGCACAUUGCGCCCCCUGGUAUUCCGGGGGGCAUGCCUGUCCGAGCGUCAUUGCAACCCUCAAGCACGGCUUGUGUUAUGGGUGUUCUCGUCCCGAGUCUUCAGUGGACGCACCCGAAAUGCAGUGAUCGCGGCCGCGAUACCGGCGCCCGAGCGAAUGGGAAUUUCAUACCACCGCUCAGUGGGCCCGGCCGGCUGUAUUGGUCCUACAACCCAUCUUCUUAGGUUGACCUCGGAUCAGGUAGGGAUACCCGCUGAACUUAA
RNAcentral lists this small RNA (631 nucleotides) under Chrysosporium sp. SA2013. RNAcentral's name for it is "eukaryotic LSU rRNA". The stretch from base 265 to 418 matches the Rfam family "5.8S ribosomal RNA". The record is from RNAcentral. Lineage: Eukaryota; Fungi; Ascomycota; Eurotiomycetes; Onygenales; Onygenaceae.